Oreochromis niloticus (Nile tilapia) is the source of this 1501-nucleotide RNA transcript. RefSeq lists it as uncharacterized. The record is from RefSeq and is a predicted model, not a curated record. Lineage: Eukaryota; Metazoa; Chordata; Actinopteri; Cichliformes; Cichlidae. The transcript is spliced from 3 exons.
CGCAGUAUAAAGACUAAAGAGGGGGUCGGAGCCCCAUGUUGCCGACCUCUAGCGUAGAGUAUGGCACCAACAGGUGGGCACACCUGUCCUGAUCCUGCCUCACAGGCUACAAAGCACCAAUCCUUGCUUCUGUCAGUGCGGCUCAUUUAAACUAUAGGAAUGAUUUACCUGGCACUGAAAAGUUCUUGGUCAGCUUUGCUGUUAUGACACAACAAUAUAAUGACAAAUUAAUACUACGGGAGCUUUUCUUCCCCUGCACUGUAAAAGUCCAAAGUCCAUAUUUAUGUGUAGGUGAACUUCAGGGUUCAGGAUCUCAGGUGUUCCUCUGCACUGCUGCACCUGGAAUCUACACUGUGACAUCAUUAAAACCAGUCCUGAAAGACAAGUGUGCAUAUAAAGCUAAAGAAGAAUCCAACCAAAGGUGUCGGCUGACGUGAAAUAUCGUUUCACAUUGAAAGUGAAAAUUCCUAACAUGUGACAGUUGUUCCGGUGUUAAGGGUCCGGUUUGGUUUGUACGAGUAAAACGGGACAAACCAGUCCAGUACCGUUCUGAAGAAAUGAAACCAGGCUGCUAAUAUGGUGAAUGAGUUUAUAUUAACCUAGUGUCCACAUCUUAGGAGGUCUUGGGAGGUUAAAAUGACAAAUUAAUAGUACAGGAGCGUUUCUAGCCCUGCACUGUAAAAGUCCAAAGUUCAUACUUAUGUGUAGGUGAGCUUCAGGGUUCAGGAUCUCUGUGUUCCUCUGCACUGCUGCACCAGGUAAUAAUGAAACCUGGAAAGAAGUGAAAGUGCAAACAGCCAAUUCCAACCCACCCACUGCACAGACAUCUUGAUAUAAAGUGGAAGCGGGAUGCUCAGGUCAGUGUUUCUGUGCACAGCAGAUUAUCAGCUCACACACUCAGGACAGCAAGGAGAUUCAUCAAGAAGAUGGAAGCGAAUAAUAAAGAUAUCAAAAAACUGAUUCAUGCAUUAUCACCUGAUGUAGAGAGGGAGCUGAGAAACACCUGGACGAGCCUCCUCAAAGGAGCAGUUGUGACGGGAGGAUGCACAUUAGUAUGCGGGGCUCUCAUUGGACCUGUGGGGUUUGCUGUUGGUGGAGCCAUUGGUGGCCUCUGCAGCUGGCUGACCAGUAAAAAGUUCAAGUCUGUGCCUGAGAUCCUGCAGGAGAUGACUGAUGACCAGAGGAGAGACCUCUUCAACGCAAUCAGGCGACAUUUACAAGAACGUGGGGUGACGUGGCAAAAUGCAGAGCAGCUCAUUGCUGCAGUAAUGGGAAAUUAUGAUCUCAAGAGGACAAUUAUCAAUUUGUUAAUCAGAAUGUUAAUGUGAGAACAGGCGUCUUAUCAUUUAUGACUCUGUGUGUGUGUUGGCCUUCAUGAUAGACAAACACAGUCAGACGUAUUUCUCAGUUACAAACAUAAAUUAGAGAUAAUCUGUGCCGGAGUAGAAAGUCAAUGUAUUUCCUCACUCUGACUCAAAUAAAAGAAAAAAACUGCUGAACA